This 1570-nucleotide long non-coding RNA is filed under the name Physcomitrium patens. Its description in RNAcentral is "long non-coding RNA (PPAT_LNC003749)". The record is from RNAcentral. Lineage: Eukaryota; Viridiplantae; Streptophyta; Bryopsida; Funariales; Funariaceae.
AAGAUUCAUGUUAUGUUUUCAAAGACUAAAUUGUUUGGCUAAUAUUUCAUUCUCUCUAUUUGUCAAUUUGUAUUAUUGUUGGUUUUUCCUUAAAAUAGGACGUAAAUGCAGAUUAUCAAACUAUUCAUUAUUAGAUGUUUAGAAAUAACCAUAGCACAAAAUUCAUGGAUAGAUGUUCUUGGAAAAUGUGAUGACAUUUACAUGUCAAACCAAUGUGCAAAAAUUCCUCAAAUAGAAGCAUUUUGUACAUCAAAUAGUUGCAUCUGCUACCAGUCAUUAAAUUCACUGUUCUUGGAUCUAAAAACCACCUUGGGUGUAUAGACACAUGUAUUGAUUCGGAAAAAAUUUAAUACAUUGAAUAAAAUGUAUCUAAUGCUUAUGGUUGUUUUGGAUGGUGUUGGUUUGUUGCUGAAAAAUGUCACCUGGAUAGAAUAUAAAAAAAUUAUUUGGCAUUUCAAAUUAAUCUGUUCCAUAAAUUUGAAAAAAAAUAAAAGAAAAUAUUUUACAUUACACCAUCUCUUGGGUAUUUUUCAAGAAUAACUUAAUAUCAUUAUUUAAUAUUAUUAGUACUAGUUUAAUAUACCCCAAACAAUGGAAGAGUAAUUUUAAACCCAAAUUUAUCAUUAGCCAAUUUUCUAAAACACAAGUAAACAAUUAGGUCUAAAUUGUAAUUUGAUUUAAUCAACUUGCACAAUUUAUAUCAUUUUUCAAAAAGUUCUUGAAGCUUCUCUAAUAUUAUACUUUAUUUUAAAAAAUAGAAUGUAUGAAACAUAUUGUAUAAUGAAGUUUUAGUAGAAUUUCCUAACCUGCUUAAAUUAUAAUGAUUCCUAAAUAUACGCUUUUGUCUUCUUUUUUUACAUUGUUUUCAAGUGUUGAUAUAACUAUAGACAUGAAACGGUAUGUAAAGAAGUUCACAACUAUUCACUUGAAUCUUGAUCAUUCUUCUCAUGGAAAGCUUUAAACUAUUUUUAAGUUUAGAGUAGAAAAUUGUGCACCAAAUAGAAGUGAGAGAGAAGAGAUUGUCUUAACAGGAACAAUUUUUUCUACUAAUUUGGAAGCUAAAGUACAAAAGACAAUGCCUCGUUAAUUAUAGAUUAAAGUAAGUGAAUCUCUUACACUAUCUUCCUAAAAAUCAUUCAUUGUAAGGAUCAUCAUAUAUAUAUAUAUAUAUAUAUAUAAAAGCCUUGUCAAAUUUGAUCCACUGCUGAUAUUCGAUUUAUUCCAGUGUUAAAAAUUUUAAAUGUUACUUUUUUUUUAAUUUUAUACCCAACCUCGCAUUUCUAGUUAAAUAUAAAUCAAACUAAGAGUACUGUGUACAUAGUUCAACAACCAGUUUUGCGAAAUUAAAAGUAUCGAACAUUUUGAAAGUAAUGCUGAUGGUAACAAUAACAACUAUUGGGUGAAGUUUACUAAACAAAAAUGCAUGCAAUCUAUUUGCAUAUAUAUAUAUAUAUAUAUAUAUAUAUAUUUACCUAAGACCUCUGUGAUUUUCAUUAUCAUCCAAAUCCACAAGAUUCAUAAGAAGAACGUUCAAUAAAAAUAAAAUUGCCACAACUAUAACUAUAUUAAA